AUGGCCAAAGUUCCAGCGGUAAAAAAUACCAAGGCAAAGAAGCAAAAGGUUGAUGCAGCUGCAGCCAUGUAUGAGAAGUAUGUAAAGCAUGGGAAACCAUUGAGGAGAUCACAUGCCAAUGAACAAGUGACACCUUUCAUCAAGAUGGGUGGAUUUUACAUUGGAUACAAGAAAUUCCUGGUAUGCUUCAAGCCUCGUGGGGAUAUGAAUGAUGAGGUUAUGUCCCUAUGUAUCGAGAUGAACAACAUGACAUCCCGUGCAGCAAGUGGUACGAAUCGGAAGAAAUACAUGUUCUCAGUCCACGCGGGGAUGCUACUAAAACAAGACCCAACAACCUUCCAACCAGCAAAACUCAUACCCGAGCUUGAAAGGGCUGUGACAAAGUUCAAGGCGAAUAAAUAUGACCUCCUUUUUUUCACAAUUGUUCAUGAUAAGCACUGGAUAAUUGUUUGCGCAAACUUGCUAUACAAGCAGUGGAAUGUAUUUGACUCAAUCCAUUCAAAAGGAAAACAAUCUCCUUUGAAGAAGCAAGCAAAUAACCUGAUCACAAACUUUGCAGCCCUCGCACAAGAGUACAGCCAAUUCAAUGUCGAUGUUGGAUCCUUCGCCCGUGUUGACCUAGAGGAUUACCCAAAGCAAGAUAACCUAUGUGAUUGUGGCUUUUUCGGGCUCAAAUAUGUGGAGAACUUUGAUGGGAAGUCAAUGAAAGAGUUCAAUCAGGAAGACGUGGCGCGAUACCGCAUGGAUGUGGUGCACAACCUUUGCACUCACCCAAUGAACAAUGCCCCAAUGGAGCGGGCAUUCAAGGAAGAGUUGGCGGCUUAA
This 825-nucleotide ribosomal RNA is filed under the name Triticum aestivum (bread wheat). RNAcentral's name for it is "partial small subunit ribosomal RNA". Lineage: Eukaryota; Viridiplantae; Streptophyta; Magnoliopsida; Poales; Poaceae. The record is from RNAcentral.